GCCGUAUUUCGGCGGGGUGGAGAGAACUGAGUCGGAGCUGCGGCUGGCGGAGGAUAAGAUAGUGCCGUUGCCGGCGAAUGAUCUGAUGUGGGAGCUGGCCCUGCCGGUUGGUGCAGGAAGGGACCAUGAGUACUGUGAUUUUAGGGCGGGGCCGCCACUGGCCGGGGAGAUUAAGAGGUGUUUGGUGAGGGGUUAUGAGGGGGAUCCGUUGAUUGAUCGACAGCGGGAGGUGGCGAGG
This 238-nucleotide unclassified non-coding RNA is filed under the name Hevea brasiliensis (rubber tree). Lineage: Eukaryota; Viridiplantae; Streptophyta; Magnoliopsida; Malpighiales; Euphorbiaceae. The record is from RNAcentral.